UGUCAAUAGAUCAACAGAUCAAAGGCACCUCUCCAGUCCUUGUCAAUAGAUCAACAUAUGUAUAAGCUCUCUGUACGUGGUUUGGACAACCCAUCAUUCCAACCAAUUACGUCAAGAAUGCCCUUUGCUUUCAUCUGUAGGCGGAUGAUAAACUUCCUUCUCUGCAGAGACAGAAUACAGUCAAUAUCACGCGAGGAGCUAGCUUCAGGUAUAAAUAUAGAAACUAACCUAAAGCCAAACUAUGAAGGAGAGUAUUUUCGUCCCUGCACAAUCAAAUGAAUUCAUACCAAAAACACGAAAGGCGGAUAAACACUUGAACUAAAGCUUGCUCGUACUUCAAGAGUGCAAAGUCAGAUGGUUUGCC
This 364-nucleotide long non-coding RNA is filed under the name Panax ginseng (ginseng). RNAcentral's name for it is "long non-coding RNA (PGIN_LNC012050)". Lineage: Eukaryota; Viridiplantae; Streptophyta; Magnoliopsida; Apiales; Araliaceae. The record is from RNAcentral.